UCCAAAGUUAAAGUAUGCUCAUCGCAUGGCCAUCAGGGGGCCACACGUCCUCCAUCAAGCAACAAAUGAAGGGAGUAUAUGAUUUAGUUCUCUUCAGAACUCUCAUUUCUCUUGUUUCUUUCUCUCUCUAAGUCUAGCUCUCUCUCAAAGCCUCUCUCUCUCUACUCUCAACCUCUCUCUAACCCUACCCUGAAUCCCUCACCACCGACCACCCCCUUUUCCAGAAAACCACCACCAAAACCAUUGAACCCUUCAAUUUUCCGGUUAAAUUUCAACCGGAAAACUCAAACAUUCAACCUUCCAACCCAGGAAUCCCCGUACCCCACAAGAACCCUUCUGAAAUCCCCGAAACCUAACCUAGAAACUUCCUAAAAGAAGAACCCUAACCUGGGUUCAUGAUAAACCCUAACUCCAAAAUCCGGAAUUAAAGAAUCCUAGGGUUCAUCUGAUGAACCCUGACCCUAACCGCUAUGAACCAUAACCCUAAAAAUUACCCAUAAGCCUUUAUAUAACCCAAAUCGAACCCCAAAUCACAUCAAACCCAUCCUGAAAAACAAAUCAAUUAUUCUCUAACCCUUAACAACAACCAAACAUAAACAAAACCUAAGUCUAUCAUUCCAUAGAUCUAGAACCAAUCAAACACAAAUAUGUGAGUUGAAAUAAAGAAAGGCAAAGGCAAAUUAUAUCCAACCAACCUACGGAGAUGAGAGGUUCUCUGGUGUAAAAAGGUCUUGCUGGUUUGUGAUGGAUUUUAAGCGCAUAAAAAUUAAGGUUUCAAUAUGAAACCCUAAUCUCAGUUUGACUCAACUUUGAUUAAGGGCUUGGAAAUUGCAGAAGAAUCAAUUUUUAGGGUUUUUUAUUUCCCGUUCAUCUCAAUUCCUCUUGUAUUUAUAGAUUAGAUUUUAGGUUUAGAAUUUAAUUUAAUUUGAUUUAGUUUAGGAAAUUUUUAGAAUUUGAUUGUAAUUUUUGAUUUUGUUUAGAAAUAGAAAUUAGGGCUUGUAAAUUGUAACUAAAACUAUGAUGUACUUGGUAUGGAUUUGAUUUGUAUUUCAUGAUUUGGAUGUAAAUGGAAGGUUUGGAUUGAAUUGCAUAUUGAA
This is a long non-coding RNA of Lathyrus oleraceus (garden pea), 1097 nucleotides long. RefSeq lists it as uncharacterized. The record is from RefSeq and is a predicted model, not a curated record. Lineage: Eukaryota; Viridiplantae; Streptophyta; Magnoliopsida; Fabales; Fabaceae. The transcript has 2 exons.